Small nucleolar RNA from Grammomys surdaster, 129 nucleotides. RefSeq annotates it as small nucleolar RNA SNORA17. The record is from RefSeq and is a predicted model, not a curated record. NCBI's taxonomy places the organism in Eukaryota, Metazoa, Chordata, Mammalia, Rodentia, Muridae. The transcript has a single exon.
GUUGCCUCUAGAGGCAUUGCAUGAGUGGUUACUGUGUCUCUUGUGCAUCAGUAGGUGGCAGAGAAGACAGAGGCUAUGUCUAAGCUCAGUAUUCUGACCUGUGAACAAAUGUAUAAUUAGCAUUAACGC